RNAcentral lists this ribosomal RNA (592 nucleotides) under uncultured beta proteobacterium. RNAcentral's name for it is "bacterial SSU rRNA". It matches the Rfam family "Bacterial small subunit ribosomal RNA", at positions 8 to 596 of the family's 1533-position model. Lineage: Bacteria; Pseudomonadati; Pseudomonadota; Betaproteobacteria. The record is from RNAcentral.
AGAGUUUGAUCCUGGCUCAGAUUGAACGCUGGCGGCAUGCUUUACACAUGCAAGUCGAACGGCAGCGCGGGGCAACCUGGCGGCGAGUGGCGAACGGGUGAGUAAUAUAUCGGAACGUACCCAAGAGUGGGGGAUAACGUAGCGAAAGUUACGCUAAUACCGCAUACGAUCUAAGGAUGAAAGCAGGGGACCGCAAGGCCUUGUGCUCCUGGAGCGGCCGAUAUCUGAUUAGCUAGUUGGUGAGGUAAUGGCUCACCAAGGCGACGAUCAGUAGCUGGUCUGAGAGGACGACCAGCCACACUGGAACUGAGACACGGUCCAGACUCCUACGGGAGGCAGCAGUGGGGAAUUUUGGACAAUGGGCGCAAGCCUGAUCCAGCAAUGCCGCGUGAGUGAAGAAGGCCUUCGGGUUGUAAAGCUCUUUUGUCAGGGAAGAAACGGCGCCGGCUAAUAUCCGGCGCUAAUGACGGUACCUGAAGAAUAAGCACCGGCUAACUACGUGCCAGCAGCCGCGGUAAUACGUAAGGUGCAAGCGUUAAUCGGAAUUACUUGGGCGUAAAGCGUGCGCAGGCGGUUUUGUAAGUCUGUCGUG